GGCCUUACCGAGGGGAGCCCCGACAUGGGGCUGAGAUAUUGCAGAGCCAACAGGCAGCGUAAUGACCCUUUGAACCUGAUCCGGGUUAUGCCGGCGAAGGGACAGGUUUGACUACCCUAU
RNAcentral lists this non-coding RNA (120 nucleotides) under Acetobacter pasteurianus. RNAcentral describes it as "TPP sequence". It matches the Rfam family "TPP riboswitch aptamer (THI element)". Rfam says of the family: Vitamin B(1) in its active form thiamin pyrophosphate (TPP) is an essential coenzyme that is synthesised by coupling of pyrimidine and thiazole moieties in bacteria. The previously detected thiamin-regulatory element, thi box was extended, resulting in a new, highly conserved RNA secondary structure, the THI element, which is widely distributed in eubacteria and also occurs in some archaea. Analysis of operon structures identified a large number of new candidate thiamin-regulated genes, mostly transporters, in various prokaryotic organisms. The record is from RNAcentral. Lineage: Bacteria; Pseudomonadati; Pseudomonadota; Alphaproteobacteria; Acetobacterales; Acetobacteraceae.